GCGAGUAUGGCCCUCACGGGUCUAAUCCACCAUAAAUACCUUUGUGAACCAGUCAGGGGGACUCGGCCGUGAAAGCCCAGGCGAUUAGCGGAAGGGCCCUCCUUUGCAAACCCGUUUAGAAGUCUUGAAAGUACUUUUGUAUAAUCUAGUA
RNAcentral lists this unclassified non-coding RNA (151 nucleotides) under soil metagenome. RNAcentral describes it as "partial internal transcribed spacer 1". The record is from RNAcentral.